This 567-nucleotide ribosomal RNA is filed under the name uncultured bacterium. Its description in RNAcentral is "partial 16S ribosomal RNA". It matches the Rfam family "Bacterial small subunit ribosomal RNA", at positions 355 to 1375 of the family's 1533-position model. The record is from RNAcentral.
UGGGGAAUAUUGCACAAUGGGCGAAAGCCUGAUGCAGCAACGCCGCGUGAGGGACGACGGCCUUCGGGUUGUAAACCUCUUUUAGCAAGGAAGAAGCGAAAGUGACGGUACUUGCAGAAAAAGCGCCGGCUAACUACGUGCCAGCAGCCGCGGUAAUACGUAGGGCGCAAGCGUUAUCCGGAAUUAUUGGGCGUAAAGAGCUCGUAGGCGGUUUGUCGCGUCUGCUGUGAAAACCCGAGGCUCAACCUCGGGCCUGCAGUGGGUACGGGCAGACUAGAGUGCGGUAGGGGAGAUUGGAACUCCUGGUGUAGCGGUGGAAUGCGCAGAUAUCAGGAAGAACACCGAUGGCGAAGGCAGAUCUCUGGGCCGUAACUGACGCUGAGGAGCGAAAGGGUGGGGAGCAAACAGGCUUAGAUACCCUGGUAGUCCACCCGUAAACGUUGGGAACUAGUUGUGGGGUCCAUUCCACGGAUUCCGUGACGCAGCUAACGCAUUAAGUUCCCCGCCUGGGGAGUACGGCCGCAAGGCUAAAACUCAAAGGAAUUGACGGGGUCAUAGCUGUUUCCU